This is a small nucleolar RNA of Notolabrus celidotus (New Zealand spotty), 90 nucleotides long. RefSeq annotates it as small nucleolar SNORD12/SNORD106. Lineage: Eukaryota; Metazoa; Chordata; Actinopteri; Labriformes; Labridae. The transcript has a single exon. The record is from RefSeq and is a predicted model, not a curated record.
AUUGUGGUUAAUGAUGCACCCUCUUUCCCCGACAUAUCGACCAUGGUGAUGCACCUAAUGUAAUAAGCCAAUUAUGUCUGAAACCACAAU